AUAAUGGGUCAGCGACUUAUAUUCUGUAGCAAGGUUAACCGAAUAGGGGAGCCGAAGGGAAACCGAGUCUUAACUGGGCGUUAAGUUGCAGGGUAUAGACCCGAAACCCGGUGAUCUAGCCAUGGGCAGGUUGAAGGUUGGGUAACACUAACUGGAGGACCGAACCGACUAAUGUUGAAAAAUUAGCGGAUGACUUGUGGCUGGGGGUGAAAGGCCAAUCAAACCGGGAGAUAGCUGGUUCUCCCCGAAAGCUAUUUAGGUAGCGCCUCGUGAAUUCAUCUCCGGGGGUAGAGCACUGUUUCGGCAAGGGGGUCAUCCCGACUUACCAACCCGAUGCAAACUGCGAAUACCGGAGAAUGUUAUCACGGGAGACACACGGCGGGUGCUAACGUCCGUCGUGAAGAGGGAAACAACCCAGACCGCCAGCUAAGGUCCCAAAGUCAUGGUUAAGUGGGAAACGAUGUGGGAAGGCCCAGACAGCCAGGAUGUUGGCUUAGAAGCAGCCAUCAUUUAAAGAAAGCGUAAUAGCUCACUGGUCGAGUCGGCCUGCGCGGAAGAUGUAACGGGGCUAAACCAUGCACCGAAGCUGCGGCAGCGACGCUUAUGCGUUGUUGGGUAGGGGAGCGUUCUGUAAGCCUGCGAAGGUGUGCUGUGAGGCAUGCUGGAGGUAUCAGAAGUGCGAAUGCUGACAUAAGUAACGAUAAAGCGGGUGAAAAGCCCGCUCGCCGGAAGACCAAGGGUUCCUGUCCAACGUUAAUCGGGGCAGGGUGAGUCGACCCCUAAGGCGAGGCCGAAAGGCGUAGUCGAUGGGAAACAGGUUAAUAUUCCUGUACUUGGUGUUACUGCGAAGGGGGGACGGAGAAGGCUAUGUUGGCCGGGCGACGGUUGUCCCGGUUUAAGCGUGUAGGCUGGUUUUCCAGGCAAAUCCGGAAAAUCAAGGCUGAGGCGUGAUGACGAGGCACUACGGUGCUGAAGCAACAAAUGCCCUGCUUCCAGGAAAAGCCUCUAAGCAUCAGGUAACAUCAAAUCGUACCCCAAACCGACACAGGUGGUCAGGUAGAGAAUACCAAGGCGCUUGAGAGAACUCGGGUGAAGGAACUAGGCAAAAUGGUGCCGUAACUUCGGGAGAAGGCACGCUGAUAUGUAGGUGAAGUCCCUCGCGGAUGGAGCUGAAAUCAGUCGAAGAUACCAGCUGGCUGCAACUGUUUAUUAAAAACACAGCACUGUGCAAACACGAAAGUGGACGUAUACGGUGUGACGCCUGCCCGGUGCCGGAAGGUUAAUUGAUGGGGUUAGCGCAAGCGAAGCUCUUGAUCGAAGCCCCGGUAAACGGCGGCCGUAACUAUAACGGUCCUAAGGUAGCGAAAUUCCUUGUCGGGUAAGUUCCGACCUGCACGAAUGGCGUAAUGAUGGCCAGGCUGUCUCCACCCGAGACUCAGUGAAAUUGAACUCGCUGUGAAGAUGCAGUGUACCCGCGGCAAGACGGAAAGACCCCGUGAACCUUUACUAUAGCUUGACACUGAACAUUGAGCCUUGAUGUGUAGGAUAGGUGGGAGGCUUUGAAGUGUGGACGCCAGUCUGCAUGGAGCCGACCUUGAAAUACCACCCUUUAAUGUUUGAUGUUCUAACGUUGACCCGUAAUCCGGGUUGCGGACAGUGUCUGGUGGGUAGUUUGACUGGGGCGGUCUCCUCCUAAAGAGUAACGGAGGAGCACGAAGGUUGGCUAAUCCUGGUCGGACAUCAGGAGGUUAGUGCAAUGGCAUAAGCCAGCUUGACUGCGAGCGUGACGGCGCGAGCAGGUGCGAAAGCAGGUCAUAGUGAUCCGGUGGUUCUGAAUGGAAGGGCCAUCGCUCAACGGAUAAAAGGUACUCCGGGGAUAACAGGCUGAUACCGCCCAAGAGUUCAUAUCGACGGCGGUGUUUGGCACCUCGAUGUCGGCUCAUCACAUCCUGGGGCUGAAGUAGGUCCCAAGGGUAUGGCUGUUCGCCAUUUAAAGUGGUACGCGAGCUGGGUUUAGAACGUCGUGAGACAGUUCGGUCCCUAUCUGCCGUGGGCGCUGGAGAACUGAGGGGGGCUGCUCCUAGUACGAGAGGACCGGAGUGGACGCAUCACUGGUGUUCGGGUUGUCAUGCCAAUGGCACUGCCCGGUAGCUAAAUGCGGAAGAGAUAAGUGCUGAAAGCAUCUAAGCACGAAACUUGCCCCGAGAUGAGUUCUCCCUGACUCCUUGAGAGUCCUGAAGGAACGUUGAAGACGACGACGUUGAUAGGCCGGGUGUGUAAGCGCAGCGAUGCGU
RNAcentral lists this ribosomal RNA (2294 nucleotides) under Escherichia coli. RNAcentral describes it as "partial 23S ribosomal RNA". It matches the Rfam family "Bacterial large subunit ribosomal RNA", at positions 612 to 2886 of the family's 2925-position model. The record is from RNAcentral. Lineage: Bacteria; Pseudomonadati; Pseudomonadota; Gammaproteobacteria; Enterobacterales; Enterobacteriaceae.